ACGGAAGGCAGCAGUGGGGAAUAUUGGGCAAUGGGCGAAAGCCUGACCCAGCGACGCCGCGUGAGGGAAGAAGAUCUUCGGAUUGUAAACCUUAGUCAACAGGGAAGAAGCAAGUGACGGUACCUGUGGAGGAAGCCACGGCUAACUACGUGCCAGCAGCCGCGGUAAUACGUAGGUGGCGAGCGUUAUCCGGAUUUACUGGGUGUAAAGGGUGUGUAGGCGGAUAUUCAAGUCAGAUGUGAAAACUAUGGGCUUAACCCAUAGCCUGCAUUUGAAACUGUAUAUCUUGAGCGUGGGAGAGGUAAACGGAAUUCCCGGUGUAGCAGUGAAAUGCGUAGAUAUCGGGAGGAACACCAGUGGCGAAGGCGGUUUACUGGACUGAGACUGACGCUGAGGCUCGAAAGCGUGGGGAGCAAACAGGAUUAGAUACCCUGGUA
This 437-nucleotide ribosomal RNA is filed under the name uncultured Oscillospiraceae bacterium. RNAcentral describes it as "bacterial SSU rRNA". It matches the Rfam family "Bacterial small subunit ribosomal RNA", at positions 341 to 792 of the family's 1533-position model. Lineage: Bacteria; Bacillati; Bacillota; Clostridia; Eubacteriales; Oscillospiraceae. The record is from RNAcentral.